CUCUGUCUGUCUGCGUAUCUAUCCAUCAUCUGUGUAUUUGAAAGAGUGCUUCGCCUACCUCCAUUUUGACCUCAGUCUAUUCUUCUAAGUUCUUCCUUCCAGCUUAUCUUUGCUGAUUCAAAAUGAGCACAACUUUUAGAAUUGCUAAAAGAAAGAAAGAGAGUUUUCUUUGAGCCCAAGUUGGGACGGCUGUCCGGGAACCAUGCUCUUUACGGGGAAGAAAGUGCUCCGGAGAAUGAACAGAUCUUACAGAGACUUUUAGAGCGCUUUUCUCUCGUCAUUUCUUAACUCGGGCAAAGGACCCAGCGGGCAAAGCAUCCCUUGAUGGAAACCGAAAUUACCCCCUCAAGCCACAGGGAACUGCCCUGAGCCUGCAAGCCCCCACGUGAUUGACCUCAAGAUAAUGAUCCACCUGACCUUGGCUGUCCAGCUGCAUGUACCCACCGACCCUUGUCCCACAUUUCCCUUGUAUAAACCUGGAAGUGUUUUCGGUACUUUGGAGACAACCCCCGAGAUGUUAGUCAGCUGUCUUCCCAGUGUUGGCGUCCCUGAAAUAAAUUCCUUUCUGUGUCGCCACCAAA
Long non-coding RNA from Leopardus geoffroyi (Geoffroy's cat), 581 nucleotides. RefSeq lists it as uncharacterized. The transcript is spliced from 2 exons. Lineage: Eukaryota; Metazoa; Chordata; Mammalia; Carnivora; Felidae. The record is from RefSeq and is a predicted model, not a curated record.